GUGGAUUAGAUACCCUGGUAGUCCAUGCCGUAAACGAUGUCUACUAGCCGUUGGGGCCUUUGAGGCUUUAGUGGCGCAGCUAACGCGAUAAGUAGACCGCCUGGGGAGUACGGUCGCAAGACUAAAACUCAAAUGAAUUGACGGGGGCCCGCACAAGCGGUGGAGCAUGUGGUUUAAUUCGAUGCAACGCGAAGAACCUUACCUGGCCUUGACAUACUAAGAACUUUCCAGAGAUGGAUUGGUGCCUUCGGGAACUUAGAUACAGGUGCUGCACGGCCGUCGUCAGCU
RNAcentral lists this ribosomal RNA (288 nucleotides) under uncultured bacterium. RNAcentral's name for it is "partial 16S ribosomal RNA". It matches the Rfam family "Bacterial small subunit ribosomal RNA", at positions 773 to 1060 of the family's 1533-position model. The record is from RNAcentral.